GUCGGCGUGCUUAACACAUGCAAGUCGAACGGAAAGGCCCUGCUUUUGUGGGGUGCUCGAGUGGCGAACGGGUGAGUAACACGUGAGUAACCUGCCCUUGACUUUGGGAUAACUUCAGGAAACUGGGGCUAAUACCGGAUAGGAGCUCCUGCUGCAUGGUGGGGGUUGGAAAGUUUCGGCGGUUGGGGAUGGACUCGCGGCUUAUCAGCUUGUUGGUGGGGUAGUGGCUUACCAAGGCUUUGACGGGUAGCCGGCCUGAGAGGGUGACCGGCCACAUUGGGACUGAGAUACGGCCCAGACUCCUACGGGAGGCAGCAGUGGGGAAUAUUGCACAAUGGGCGGAAGCCUGAUGCAGCAACGCCGCGUGCGGGAUGACGGCCUUCGGGUUGUAAACCGCUUUCGCCUGUGACGAAGCGUGAGUGACGGUAAUGGGUAAAGAAGCACCGGCUAACUACGUGCCAGCAGCCGCGGUGAUACGUAGGGUACGAGCGUUGUCCGGAUUUAUUGGGCGUAAAGGGCUCGUAGGUGGUUGAUCGCGUCGGAAGUGUAAUCUUGGGGCUUAACCCUGAGCGUGCUUUCGAUACGGGUUGACUUGAGGAAGGUAGGGGAGAAUGGAAUUCCUGGUGGAGCGGUGGAAUGCGCAGAUAUCAGGAGGAACACCAGUGGCGAAGGCGGUUCUCUGGGCCUUUCCUGACGCUGAGGAGCGAAAGCGUGGGGAGCGAACAGGCUUAGAUACCCUGGUAGUCCACGCUGUAAACGGUGGGUACUAGGUGUGGGGUCCAUUCCACGGGUUCCGUGCCGUAGCUAACGCUUUAAGUACCCCGCCUGGGGAGUACGGCCGCAAGGCUAAAACUCAAAGGAAUUGACGGGGCCCCGCACAAGCGGCGGAGCAUGCGGAUUAAUUCGAUGCAACGCGUAGAACCUUACCUGGGUUUGACAUGGAUCGGGAGUGCUCAGAGAUGGGUGUGCCUCUUUUGGGGUCGGUUCACAGGUGGUGCAUGGCUGUCGUCAGCUCGUGUCGUGAGAUGUUGGGUUAAGUCCCGCAACGAGCGCAACCCUUGUUCACUGUUGCCAGCACGUUAUGGUGGGGACUCAGUGGAGACCGCCGGGGUCAACUCGGAGGAAGGUGGGGAUGACGUCAAGUCAUCAUGCCCCUUAUGUCCAGGGCUUCACGCAUGCUACAAUGGCUGGUACAGAGAGUGGCGAGCCUGUGAGGGUGAGCGAAUCUCGGAAAGCCGGUCUCAGUUCGGAUUGGGGUCUGCAACUCGACCUCAUGAAGUCGGAGUCGCUAGUAAUCGCAGAUCAGCAACGCUGCGGUGAAUACGUUCCCGGGGCUUGUACACACCGCCCGUCACACCACGAAAGUUGGUAACACCCGAAGCCGGUGAGGUAACCUAUUAGGAGCCAGCCGUCUAAGGUGGGGCCGAUGAUUGG
Molecule: ribosomal RNA, 1434 nt
Filed under: uncultured organism
Description: SSU rRNA
Rfam family: Bacterial small subunit ribosomal RNA
Source: RNAcentral